GAUGAACGCUGGCGGCGUGCCUAACACAUGCAAGUCGAGCGAGAAGUAAAUAACGGACACUUUCGGGUUGAAGAUAUUUAUGGAAAGCGGCGGACGGGUGAGUAACGCGUGGGUAACCUGCCCUAUACAUGGGGAUAGCCACUAGAAAUGGUGAUUAAUACCUGGUAGGCAUAAUAAAGGCAUCUUUAUUAUGAGAAAGAUUUAUUGGUAUAGGAUGGGCCCGCGUCUGAUUAGCUAGUUGGUGGGGUAAAAGCCUACCAAGGCAAUGAUCAGUAGCCGACCUAAGAGGGUGAACGGCCACACUGGAACUGAGAGACGGUCCAGACUCCUACGGGAGGCAGCAGUGGGGGAUAUUGCACAAUGGGGGAAACCCUGAUGCAGCAACGCCGCGUGAGUGAUGAAAUUUUUCGAAAUGUAAAACUCCGUCCUAUGGGAAGAAAAAAAUGACGGUACCAUAGGAGGAAGCCCCGGCUAACUACGUGCCAGCAGCCGCGGUAAUAUGUAGGGGGCAAGCGUUAUCCGGAAUCAUUGGGCGUAAAGCGUGCGUAGGCGGCUAGGAAGGUCAGAGGUGAAAGGCAUGGGCUUAACCUGUGUAAGCCUUUGAAACCGACUAGCUUGAGUACAGGAGGGGAAAGUGGAAUUUCUAGUGUAGCGGUGAAAUGCGUAGAUAUUAGAAAGAACACCAGUGGCGAAGGCGACUUUCUGGACUGUAACUGACGCUAAGGCACGAAAGCGUGGGUAGCGAACAGG
RNAcentral lists this ribosomal RNA (750 nucleotides) under uncultured bacterium. Its description in RNAcentral is "bacterial SSU rRNA". It matches the Rfam family "Bacterial small subunit ribosomal RNA", at positions 28 to 776 of the family's 1533-position model. The record is from RNAcentral.